Pseudopipra pipra is the source of this 3488-nucleotide RNA transcript. It is a transcript of the gene named ATP binding cassette subfamily D member 4, with no coding region annotated. The record is from RefSeq and is a predicted model, not a curated record. The transcript has 17 exons. NCBI's taxonomy places the organism in Eukaryota, Metazoa, Chordata, Aves, Passeriformes, Pipridae.
UGGCUGCCCCCGUGCGGGCGCGGGGGGCUGAUGCCGGGCGAGGAGAGGUGAUGGAUAUUCCCAUGUAGCGCCCGCGGGGGCGGUGCUCUCCCGGACGGUCCGGCGGGCCCGAUGGCGGGUGGCAGCGGCAGCGCGGGGGGCGCCGGGACCGGCGGCCGGGCUGUCCCCCGGCUGGACGGGCUGUUCCUGCGGCGGUUCCUGCGGCUGCUGGCCGUGCUCUUCCCCGGGUGGCCCUCCGCGAGCGCCGUCAUGUUUCUGACUCUGCUCGGUGUCGCCUUGCUGGAGCAGCUGGUUAUUUACCAGGUCGGCGUCAUCCCCAGCCAGUACUAUGAGGUCCUAGGGAACAAAGAUUUCUCCGGGUUCAAAACAUUGACUGCCGUUGCCGUGACUCUGAUCAUAGUGAACUCCACGCUAAAAAGCUUCGACCAGUUUAUCUGCAACAUGAUGUACGUGAACUGGAGGAAAUCCCUCACUGAAUACCUCCACAGCUGCUACUUCCAAGGCCAGGUCUACUACAGCCUGCAUGUGCUGCGUGAGGACAUCGAUAAUCCGGACCAGCGCAUCAGCCAGGAUGUGGAGAGGUUCUGCAGGCAGCUCAGCUCCAUGGUCAGCAAGCUCGUCAUCUCACCUUUCACGCUGGCCUACUACACACACCAGUGCUUUCACAGCACAGGCUGGCUAGGCCCAGUGAGCAUCUUUGGAUAUUUUGUCAUUGGGACAAUUGCAAACAAACUAUUGAUGAGCCCAAUUGUGUCUAAACUUGUGCAGCAGGAAAAACUGGAGGGCGAUUUCAGGUUCAAGCACAUGCAGAUUCGUGUCAAUGCAGAACCAGCUGCUUUCUACAGGGCUGGGCGAGUGGAGCACAUGCGCACGGACCGGAGGCUGCAGAGCCUGCUGCAGACCCAGAGAGAGCUGAUAGGCAAGGAGCUGUGGCUAUACAUUGGGAUCAACACCUUUGACUAUCUGGGUAGCAUCCUGAGCUACGUGGUCAUUGCCAUUCCCAUUUUUUCUGGGGUCUACAGUGACCUGAGUCCAACAGAGCUCAGUGCCCUCGUCAGCAAGAAUGCUUUUGUUUCCAUCUACCUCAUUGGCUGCUUCAGCCAGCUCAUAGAUCUCUCCAGCACUGUGACCGAUGUAGCUGGCUACACACACAGGAUUGGUGAACUGCAGGAGACCUUGCUGAGCCUUGGCAGAAAAAAAAAUGGUAACUACUCAGAAGCCAAAACGAGCUGGGAUUUGGACGGCAGCCAUUCUGGGGAGGACUCAGUGCCAAGGGACACAGCUUUCCUUCUGGACCAAGUGACGCUUUCGGUGCCAUCCUCUGGCAAGCUGCUCAUCAAGGACUUGAGCCUCAGGAUCUCACAAGGAAACAGUGUGAUGAUUGUGGGAAACACUGGUACAGGGAAGACAUCUCUCCUGAGGGUCCUUGGAGGACUCUGGGAGAGCACGCGGGGGAGCAUCAAGAUGCUGACCUGCUUUGGCCCCCGGGGAGUGGUAUUCCUACCACAGCGGCCCUUCUUCACCGAUGGAAGCCUGCGUGAGCAGGUGAUCUAUCCCCUGAAGGAGAUCUAUCCAGUUUCAGAUACAUCCUGCCUUCGCUGGGCAGGGAUGACCUAGUGCAACCCUGCCUGCUGAAUGCACAGGGUUUGGUGCUGUUGCCUGUUGCCAGAAUGGAGCCACUGCCCUCAUGUGGGAUCCACAGAGGCUGAGGAAGAGCAGCCUGGCUGCCAGCACACCCCAAUCCACCUGCAGCCCCUCCAGAAAGACCCAGCUGCUACCACAGGAUAAGCCACAACCUUACACUACAGCCACUGCAGGACCAAGCAGACCUUUUGGAAUCCCCCUCUCUCCAACCCUGUAACAGUGUGCUCUUCCAAUAUGCUCCCAGGACUGAAGCCCCACACAUAGAAUUGCCUGCAGGCAGUCGGUGGGAUCCCAUGUCUGCCUCCCUCCUUACCUGCCACGUUCAGCUGCCCACCCAGGAACCAGGAGACCCUGCCCUGGUGCAGAUCGCAGUCCUGGACAGAGUGGAAGGGGGUGAUCCAGGGGUCACAAGAGAGGGGCAGAAAAAACCUUUCCCUGCAAGUAGAGCUGUUCUCAGUAAGGCACACUGAUGGGAUCAACAGCAGACAUGAGAGGUUGGACACCAGCAUGGGGAACAGGAUCUAUCUGCCAUCAGGUACACUCAUCGCACGCUAUACACCUGGUUUGUAUCAGAGCUGCCCCAAGGUCUGGGGUUACCUACAAGGGUUCUGUCACUCUGGGAAAACGCAGUCCUGUGGGCUUACAGUCCCUCCACAAAGUCAAGCCCAACCAGCCUCAUCAUUCCAGAAGUCUCUUAUUUACCAUGCACGCCUACUCUGCUUCUGCAUUUUUCCCCUCCCUUUAAGACAUUAGAUUUUUCCAUCAGACCAUCCCCAGAAGCUCUUAACAAGGCAGGCAAGUCUCAACUUCUUAUCUGAUAACUCAGAAUAGGUGCCCACUGCUCUCAAAUCAGAGCUCACCUUGCUGGAAAUCCUGUCGGUGCCCUUCCCUUUCAACCAGCUCCCCUGCAUUUGCAGCAUCUGGCUGCUGCCUCAGCUCCUCAGGCCAGCUGAGCCCUGCAGCCUGCUCCUGGCAGAGGGGUUGAGCCUGCCCAAAGGUCUGUCUGACUCUCUAACACCAUGGCACAUGUGAUAUGGGGUGACCCAAACCACCAGGGCUGUCCUGGAUGCUGAAGUGACUUGUUCUCUGACCGGCUGUAUGCUGUAACUUCUGCUCAUCCCUUUCAACUUUUUCCCUGCAAAGGGAGAGCAGCACCCAAGCCCUGUAUUUUCCGUGCCUGGGUGGGGAGGAAGGUGCAGACCUCUUUCUAUGCUGCUUUGGAUCUCCCACCCCUCUCUGGCUACAGCCUGACAUCCAGUGCCCUCUCAGCUUUGGCUGAACUCACCCUCCUUAAACAUUGGUGACCAGACUCAUACACAGUAUUCCCGUUUAAUUUUAUUCUUGUUCAUAUCUUUACAGAAAAUGGCACAUAAAUCACAGAUGCUGGAUGACUAGAAGUUGUUACAGCUCCAUAUCUCAAACACCUCAAUACUGAAUUCUUUUCUCACUGUAUAUACAUUAUUUACACCCCAUGGGCUAAAUCUAACACGUCGAACGACCAGGGAACAAAGACGAACAGGGGUUGGAUGAGCGGGCUGAACAUUUGACAGAAGAAAAACUGUGGGGAAAGGGUGCUCACAGCUGAAAGCAGGACAGAAAGGGGCACCUGGAAGUCACUGUCCUACAGCUUUUGGAGGGGGAAUAGUGCCCUACUGGGAUGGAAAAGUGAUGGUACCAUGGAGUGGGUUUGGCUGUGUGAGUCUGCAUGUGCUUAUAUGGCAUGUAUGUACACAUUACAGGGUGUAUCAGAGUGGAUGUGCAUGGCUGUCAUUCCCUUUAACACUCAGAGGGUGAGCUGGACAAAUUUAAAUCAAUAAAUACAUUAGGUGGAUGUUGUUGUCUCA